Molecule: ribosomal RNA, 1465 nt
Filed under: Prochlorococcus sp. AG-388-A01
Lineage: Bacteria; Bacillati; Cyanobacteriota; Cyanophyceae; Synechococcales; Prochlorococcaceae
Description: bacterial SSU rRNA
Rfam family: Bacterial small subunit ribosomal RNA
Source: RNAcentral
AGAGUUUGAUCCUGGCUCAGGAUGAACGCUGGCGGCGUGCUUAACACAUGCAAGUCGAACGAACCUUCGGGUUAGUGGCGGACGGGUGAGUAACGCGUGAGAAUCUGCCCUCAGGAGGGGGAUAACGGUUGGAAACGACCGCUAAUACCCCAUAUGCCGAUAGGUGAAAUGAAUUUCGCCUGAGGAUGAGCUCGCGUCUGAUUAGCUUGUUGGUGAGGUAAUGGCUCACCAAGGCUUCGAUCAGUAGCUGGUCUGAGAGGAUGAUCAGCCACACUGGGACUGAGACACGGCCCAGACUCCUACGGGAGGCAGCAGUGGGGAAUUUUCCGCAAUGGGCGAAAGCCUGACGGAGCAACGCCGCGUGAGGGAUGAAGGCCUCUGGGCUGUAAACCUCUUUUCUCAAGGAAGAAGAUAUGACGGUACUUGAGGAAUAAGCCACGGCUAAUUCCGUGCCAGCAGCCGCGGUAAUACGGGAGUGGCAAGCGUUAUCCGGAAUUAUUGGGCGUAAAGCGUCCGCAGGCGGCUUAUCAAGUCUGCUGUUAAAAAGUGGAGCUUAACUCCAUCAUGGCAGUGGAAACUGAUAGGCUUGAGUAUGGUAGGGGCAGAGGGAAUUCCCGGUGUAGCGGUGAAAUGCGUAGAUAUCGGGAAGAACACCAGUGGCGAAGGCGCUCUGCUGGGCCAUUACUGACGCUCAUGGACGAAAGCCAGGGGAGCGAAAGGGAUUAGAUACCCCUGUAGUCCUGGCCGUAAACGAUGAACACUAGGUGUCGGGGGAAUCGACCCCUUCGGUGUCGUAGCUAACGCGUUAAGUGUUCCGCCUGGGGAGUACGCACGCAAGUGUGAAACUCAAAGGAAUUGACGGGGGCCCGCACAAGCGGUGGAGUAUGUGGUUUAAUUCGAUGCAACGCGAAGAACCUUACCAGGGUUUGACAUCCUGCGAACCUCUUAGAAAUUUGAGGGUGCCUUCGGGAAUGCAGUGACAGGUGGUGCAUGGCUGUCGUCAGCUCGUGUCGUGAGAUGUUGGGUUAAGUCCCGCAACGAGCGCAACCCACGUUUUUAGUUGCCAGCAUUUAGUUGGGCACUCUAGAAAGACCGCCGGUGAUAAACCGGAGGAAGGUGUGGAUGACGUCAAGUCAUCAUGCCCCUUACACCCUGGGCUACACACGUACUACAAUGCUACGGACAAAGGGCAGCAAACUCGCGAGAGCUAGCAAAUCCCAUAAACCGUGGCUCAGUUCAGAUCGUAGGCUGCAACUCGCCUACGUGAAGUAGGAAUCGCUAGUAAUCGCAGGUCAGCAUACUGCGGUGAAUACGUUCCCGGGCCUUGUACACACCGCCCGUCACACCAUGGAAGUUGGCCAUGCCCGAAGUCGUUACUCCAACCCUUGUGGAGGAGGACGCCGAAGGUGGGGCUAAUGACUGGGGUGAAGUCGUAACAAGGUAGCCGUACCGGAAGGUGCGGCUG